Molecule: ribosomal RNA, 467 nt
Filed under: uncultured bacterium
Lineage: Bacteria
Description: partial 16S ribosomal RNA
Rfam family: Bacterial small subunit ribosomal RNA
Source: RNAcentral
GACGAACGCUGGCGGCGUGCUUAACACAUGCAAGUCGAACGGAAAGGCCCUGCUUUUGUGGGGUGCUCGAGUGGCGAACGGGUGAGUAACACGUGAGUAACCUGCCCUUGACUUUGGGAUAACUUCAGGAAACUGGGGCUAAUACCGGAUAGGAGCUCCUGCUGCAUGGUGGGGGUUGGAAAGUUUCGGCGGUUGGGGAUGGACUCGCGGCUUAUGCGCUUGUUGGUGGGGUAGUGGCUUACCAAGGCUUUGACGGGUAGCCGGCCUGAGAGGGUGACCGGCCCCAUGGGCCUACGGGAGGGGCCAGUGCGCAAUCGGGGGCAAGGGGCGGGAAACUUAGCCAACGGGGCCGAGUCGUGGAGGAGAACCUCCGGGUUGGGGAGCCCUGCUUUUGGGUUGGAAAAGCAUCCGGCUUGUACCGAGGGGUUAGGAAGGUAACUGGAGAAAAAGCACCGGCUAACUUCGUG